RNA transcript from Hydra vulgaris (swiftwater hydra), 5698 nucleotides. RefSeq lists it as uncharacterized. The record is from RefSeq and is a predicted model, not a curated record. Lineage: Eukaryota; Metazoa; Cnidaria; Hydrozoa; Anthoathecata; Hydridae.
UGAAUUUUAAAAAAUUAUAACAGCAAAAAAAAAAAAAAAAAAAAGAAAAAAGAAAGAAUUUUUCUUUUUAAGGAGAAAAAUUUAAUGACUGUUUUUAUAUGGCUGCUUCCUGGCUUUUUAAUGCUAUAUAUUUUUAAGGUAAAAGUAUAAAUGAAGCUUUUAGUAUGAAAGAUGGCAAAAGGCACUCCAAGCAUGAAAAGUCAAUGCUGGUUGGUUCUAAUUUUUUUAAAUCUUAAUGUGGUUGCAAAUAAAGAAAAACAUCACUUAAAGAAACAAAAAAGAGAUUCAGUUGCGACAUUACCAGAUAAAAUUUCUUCUUUAAUGACAGAUGAGAUAAAGACAGGAACACAGUUUGAAUCAUUAGGUUGUAUUUUUGAAGUAGCUAAAGACGAUUGUAAAACUACUUUUUUGCCAAAACAAUCAAGUUGUCAAGGAAUGACUGUUCCAAAAUUUUUUCAGUAUUUUUAUAGAGAAACCAAUAUAAAAAAUUUAACAUAUGACUUUAUACCUAUGAGAAUUUUACAAGUUGAUAGAUUUAUUAUGGAUCAGUGCUUAGGUGAAGUAGAUAUCGAAAGUACAGCAAAAGAAGGUUUUCAAAUUAUUAAAGGAAAGAUGAAGCUCUUCGAUGGGAAAGUGUUAACAACAUUUUAUUAUAAAGAAGUUUCAGGGUUGCCUGAUUUUGAAAAGUUUUCUAUUGAAAUAAGCGGAAAUGUAAUUAUAGGAAAACAUAUAGCACCAAUAUCUUUAAUUAAAAAAAAAAACUCACUUGAAGCACAAAUUUCUAUUAGAUUAACUUCAAUGACAGCACUUGAUUUCUACCAAUCACUUACAAAUAAAGCGCUACUUGACAAAAGAUCAUUAAUAGACACACAUAUUUUUACAGAUGCUAACAUGCAAGAUCCACUAUUAACUGGGUAUAUUGGUGUUAAUGGUGAUUUUGAAAUAGUUCUUAAAGGAGAAAUUCAACAUGCUGUGCUUGGUGCAAUAUUGCUCUCAGUUGUUGUUCAAAAACCAGUUGAUUCUGCUACUGGUGUUGCUUUAGUUGCUAGCAUAAACAAUAUAAAACCAAACUUAGUUCUAUCUAUAGCCACUGGAAGAAGUCUUGAAACUUUUCCAAUAUUGAAAGGAGUUGUAUCAGAUCUUGUUUUAGAGUUUUCAAAUGAAGACUUGUAUAACAUAAGAGAUGAUAAUGUUAAUAUGGUGUUAGAUAAAUAUAUUUCAGGAGAUAAAAAUAUUUCCAAAGGGGCCAAAAUUAAAUUACAUUUACCAUCAGAUAAAAUUGUUCAAAGAGUAAAAGAACCUAAUAAAAUUUUAGUUCAAAUAUAUCUUAUUGAUGGUAGUUUUUCUCUCAAGUUUCCUGAUAAACUGUUAUUUGAUCUAGCUAGUGUAACAAACAAUUUAAUUCCUAAAGUGCCAGUUGCUCUUUUUUCAAAAGUAUUUCAGGUAUCGCCAGAGGUACUAAUUACAAAAUUUGUUGUUGACAUUAUGACUAAAGAAAUUAAUGUAAAGUGCUUAGCUCCUGAAGAGUUAAUUAUGGGAAAAGAUUUAAUGGCAGUAAAAAAUGCAGAGUUUGAAAUUACCCACAAGCGAAACGAAAGUUGGAAGUUUGAAAUGCAUGCAAGAAAAAAAAUUGCAGGAACUUUUAUGGAUGUUUCACUAGAAAAAAAGAAAGACCAUUACUUGUUUUUAGGAAAAAUUGACAAGAUUACUACAAAACAAUUAGCUACAAAUUUUGGUGCUAAACAAGUUGGUGAAGCUACAAUCGGUCAGAUAGAGUUUUUGAAUUAUGAUUUAUUAGAUGUGAGAGUUGAUGCAGAUUUCAAUGAAGACAUGAAAUUACAUUUUGUUGGAAAUCCAUUGUUUUUUAAUUACAAUUCAUCAAAGUUUGAAGGUUAUGUUCUUGAUGUUAAUGGAGCAAGGAAAAUGAUAUUUGGAUUAGUUUUGAAUGAUUUUCGAAUGGAUGAUUUUGUUCAAAGGUGUUAUCAAAAAGAUUUAAAUCAAGUAAAAUGGAUCAGCAAGUUAUCUGCAACAUUGAUGAUUUCAAAUACUGAUGAUAUAAAAGGAAUCACAUUUGUUACACCUGAGUUUAAAAACAAAGUUUCAUUAAGAAAAGGUGUUACCUUUUCAUCUUUAAUUCCCAUACCAGAGAGUUGUCAUGGAGAACGCAUAUGUGAAUUUGCAAAAGAAAAAGUAAUCCCUGGUACAAAACUCUCUAUUGAUGGCGAUAUAUCUAAAGGUGGGCUACUUUUGAGAGCUCCAUAUCGAGGAAAUGGACUUGAGAUUGGAAAAAAUAUUGUGCUUACUCAAGCAAGAUUUCUAAUAAAAGUUGCAGAUAAAUCAGAGAUCACUAUUGCUGGUAUCAUUGCGAUAAAGAAUCCUUCUUUGAUAUUUGAAGCUUUGAUUAGUAUGGGUUCUACUGGCGAGUUAAUUAUAACAUUACAUUUGGUUGACACUUGGAAGAAUCCAUUUGGUUUUUCUUUUAUUGCAUUUACUAAUGUUGUAAUGACUGCUGCUUUACAUUCAGAAGUGAUGAUUCAUAAAUUGUACAUGAAAGCAACAAUGCACUUUGGAAAGCAUGUAAAUGAAAUUAAUCAGCAGAGAGAUUUAGUUAGCAGUGAGAUUGCUAGUGAUGUUAUUAUAAGUGUUCAGCCAAUGAUUCAUUUUGAUGAUUAUUUCUAUGGUCAAAUUCACACAAUAAACAUGAUGGAUUUUGCUAAAGCAUUUCAUAGAGAAGUUGUUAUGUUAAAAGUUAUUAAAGAUAUCAAAUUUCCGGAUGGAUUAAAAUACGGAUACACUACAAAUGUCAAAAGUACGCAUAUCAAUCAUUUAAAUAUAGAUCUCACAUCUGGAUCAGGUUUAAUGUUUUAUGGAAAAUUAAAGGUAUUGUCAAUGAACUUAAUUUGCUUUAUUAAUGUCACAAAUGCUGAUGUGAUUCUUACUGCAAACAUGCCGCCAAUGCUGAUUGGUCAAGAUCUUGUUUAUUUGCAAAGAAAUCAAGAUGACCAAGAAAAUGGAGGAAAGUUGGUAAUUACAUUAAAUAAUGAGGAGUUUAAGGUGGAAAUAAAAACUUAUGUUGAAUUGCUUGGAGUUGGAGCAAACGUUAACAUACUUAUAGAUGAUAAAGGAAUUAAGUUUGUACUACAUGGAAAAAUAUUUAAUUUAGUCAUGGGAAAUGUAACUGUGUUUGCUCCGUUAGAAAAUGACGAUUUGAUUGCUUCUGUCUUUCAAGUUUCUUCUUGCUUUUUAUCAAGUGUAGCAAAUAUUAAUGCAGAGUCUGCUAAUAUAAUUUCUGAUGUAGCUGAUGAAACUGCAAAAGCACUGAAGGAAAGUGAGGAGAGAAUUGCAGACUCAGUAUUUUUUUACAACCAAGCGCAUGCAAAGUUUGUGAAAUGGACUUCUAAACUAAAAGCAUAUCGUGAUGCCAUAGAAAAAAGAUCAUUAGAAUUAGAUUAUAUUGCAGAACUACUAGAAACUCCAUGUGUAAUGCAAUGUAAAAAAGUUUGCAUUGGUGGUCCAUCAAUAAAUGAACACUGGAAAAAGAUGCGAAGUAGAUGGAUUUCUAGUCCUGAGUGGGAGCCUUGUAAACGGAAAAUAUAUGAUGUUGCAUGUCUUGCUAAUUGUAAAGGAAAACAAGUUUAUAAAGAAGUAGAAGCAAACAAAAAAAAAAAUAUUGAGGAGGUUCUUCUCAACUCAAUGAGCAUUAUUAGCCAAAUAUUAGAUAAUACUAAACUUUUUGUUGAAAAAUCAAAAGACCUGAUUAAUUCAACAGUAUUAGUUGCUCAACAAGUUCAAAAAGUUACAGGUGCUGGCAAAGAAGCAAUGGAAGCAAUUGCAAAUUUUUCAAAAUCAAAUAUAAUUGAAAUUCAUGAUAUCUGCUUUGAUAUGUCAUUGCAAAAAGCAGUGACGACAUAUUUCACAUUAACAAUCGAUGCUACACUUGGGCAGCGAAAGCGAUUAAAUAUGGAUGUGUUUGCAAAAUUAGAUGCAGGUUUUGAAAAAAACAUUGCUGCAGCCAUUGCUGAGCAACUUUUCCCUGGAAUCGGAGUCAUUAAAAGUGAUAUUAAUGAUGCGUUGUUAAACUUUGAAGAUGUGAUUAUAAAAAAGGAAGAUCUUAAAGCAUUUGCAAAAGAAUCUGAAAUACAAGAACAGAAUUUAGAAGCAAUGAUCGAAACUCCUGAGGAAGAUAACCCAGGGGAUGAUACACCAAGCAAAAAUGCUGUCUUUUUAUCAGAAAUUACACGUGACCCUGAAUAUAUACGCAAACAGCUAUAUUCAAAAACAUCAUUAUUAACUAUUCGUGAUGACUUGACUUUGGAUGCAUUUGAAUAUGACUCCCCAUGGUCAUUUUCACAAGAAGAUUCUCCAUUUACACCAUUUAAAAGUGAAGAAAAAUUGGAAACAAAAGACAAUAUAUUAGGAUCAGAUAUAUAUAUUUACCCAGACACUCCUGAAGAUCCUAAUGAUCCAGAUAAAUGUUCCAAGACAAGAGGAUUGGUCUCAAAUUAUGCUACAGUUUCUCAAAUAGUCAACUCUUUGCUGGAGAAGUUGAAAAACUUGAAGGAUCAUUUUGCUGCUGAGGUGAAAAGUUAUAUUGCCAACAUAAAUCAAAUAGAAAGGAAUAUCAUUCACAACUGUAGGUUGUUUAAUAACUUGGUUAUGUUGCAUGUGAUUAUGGUUAUAUUGCAUGCAGUUAAUAUUAUAUUGCAUGUGGUUGUGUGCAGCAUGUGUGCAACACAGGUAAACAAAAUAAAGUUGGUGAUGAAAAAACUGCAGAUGCAUUGUUUUUUGUAUACAAGCUCAGAAACGGAACUUCAAAAUGGAUUCACAAUGUUGAACAGCAGAUUGCAACUCAAGACAGAGAAACACUUCGCAUGUUGCGAAAGUCAUUUUCUGAUGUCAUCAAUACAGAUAAACAGAUGGAUAUACAAAAGUUCUUGGAAAAUAUGAAAAUAGCAACAACUGCUGCAAGCAAAAGGUACGCUGCUCAAGCCAAACAUGCAGCUAAGACUCUCACAUCUGUCACUUUUGAGUCAGCAACAAAAAUUGUUGAAGAUUUGCUCACUGGUGUCGGAGGUACAUUAAGUUCAAAAAAAUCUGCUAUUGACAACCUUCAUGACAAUGUUUUAUUUCUUUCGAAGCAAAUUCCGUGUGCAACUUUGUCGAGAUAGCACAUUAAUGCGUUCAAGCUAAUGUUUGCUUACGCAAAAUCAUUCAAAUGGAUGUUUUCGCCGAAGCGAAAAUAUUAAAGCUAAUGUUUGACAAUGAUUUGAGAAUUUUUGUAUUUUAAGAGUUAUACGGUGUGGUUGCAUCAAGUGCAUUCUGGAAUUGGGUGUUAAAUGAAUAGUACCAGUAAAACUGUCCUAAUAUCGAUAAAAUUAUUGUCUCUAACUAAUAAUUUCUGAUUUUCAAUGAUUUAUUGGUUUUUCAUACUGUAUAGUGCUACGCAUAUAUGAAUCGAAUAGUACAACACUUCAAAAAAUGUCUUCUUUUUUGCAAUUGAUGAUAAUUUAUCUGUAAUGUAUUAGAUCUACAGGAGUUUUCUAUUUAUUUUUACUUUAUUUUGUGUAUAAAUAUUUCUAUAUUUCUAUGUUUCUUAUAAAUUAAAGUUAUUAAAAAAUAUUUAUCUAUUAUAUUUCAAAUGUUUAUUUAAUGUAAAAUAAAAAUUUAUAAUUUGGGGAGAAUAGUGUCGGAUAUAUUU